GACGAACGCUGGCGGCGUGCUUAACACAUGCAAGUCGAACGGAAAGGCCCUGCUUUUGUGGGGUGCUCGAGUGGCGAACGGGUGAGUAACACGUGAGUAACCUGCCCUUGACUUUGGGAUAACUUCAUGAAACUGGGGCUAAUACCGGAUAGGAGCUCCUGCUUCAUGGUGGGGGUUGGAAAGUUUCGGCGGUUGGGGAUGGACUCGCGGCUUAUCAGCUUGUUGGUGGGGUAGUGGCUUACCAAGGCUUUGACGGGUAGCCGGGCUGCGAGGGUGACCGGACACAUUGGGACUGAGAUACGGCACAGACUCGUACGGGAGGCAGCAGUGGGGAAUAUUGCACAAUGGGCGGAAGCAUGAUGCAGCAAAGCCGCGUGGGGGAUGACGGCAUUGGGGUUGUAAACCGCAGUCGCCUGUGACGAAGCGUGAGUGACGGUAAUGGGUAAAGAAGCACCGGCUAACUACGUG
RNAcentral lists this ribosomal RNA (468 nucleotides) under uncultured bacterium. RNAcentral describes it as "partial 16S ribosomal RNA". It matches the Rfam family "Bacterial small subunit ribosomal RNA", at positions 28 to 507 of the family's 1533-position model. The record is from RNAcentral.